UGAGGGCCCCUCUGCGUGUUCACAGCGGACCUUGAUUUAAUGUCUAUACAAUUAAGGCACGCGGUGAAUGCCAAGAGAGGCGCCUCC
This is a microRNA precursor of Meriones unguiculatus (Mongolian gerbil), 87 nucleotides long. Lineage: Eukaryota; Metazoa; Chordata; Mammalia; Rodentia; Muridae. The record is from Ensembl.